GCAGCCGUGGCGGAAUUGGCAUACGCGCUAGACUAAGGAUCUAGUCCAGAUUCUGGGUAGGGGUUCAAGUCCCCUCGGCUGCA
RNAcentral lists this transfer RNA (83 nucleotides) under Clostridium sp. RNAcentral describes it as "tRNA-Leu". It matches the Rfam family "tRNA". From Rfam's summary of the family: Transfer RNA (tRNA) molecules are approximately 80 nucleotides in length. Their secondary structure includes four short double-helical elements and three loops (D, anti-codon, and T loops). RNAcentral also lists the same sequence under 5 other names. Lineage: Bacteria; Bacillati; Bacillota; Clostridia; Eubacteriales; Clostridiaceae. The record is from RNAcentral.